RNAcentral lists this ribosomal RNA (252 nucleotides) under uncultured bacterium. RNAcentral's name for it is "partial 16S ribosomal RNA". It matches the Rfam family "Bacterial small subunit ribosomal RNA", at positions 524 to 776 of the family's 1533-position model. The record is from RNAcentral.
UACGGAGGAUGCGAGCGUUAUCCGGAUUUAUUGGGUUUAAAGGGUGCGUAGGCGGAUCGUUAAGUCAGUGGUCAAAUUGAGGGGCUCAACCCCUUCCCGCCAUUGAAACUGGCGAUCUUGAGUGGAAGAGAAGUAUGCGGAAUGCGUGGUGUAGCGGUGAAAUGCAUAGAUAUCACGCAGAGCCCCGAUUGCGAAGGCAGCAUGCCGGCUUCCGACUGACGCUGAAGCACGAAAGCGUGGGGAUCGAACAGG